AGCUUUGCGCAGUGGCAGUAUCGUAGCCAAUGAGGUUAAUCCGAGGCGUGAUUAUUGCUAAUUGAAAACUUUUACCAAUACCCCGCCAUGAUGACUUGAAAUAUAGUCAGCAAUGGCAAUUUUUGACAGUCUCUAAGGAGA
This 141-nucleotide small nuclear RNA is filed under the name Pelobates cultripes (western spadefoot toad). It matches the Rfam family "U4 spliceosomal RNA". From Rfam's summary of the family: U4 small nuclear RNA (U4 snRNA) is a component of the major U2-dependent spliceosome. The structure of U4 snRNA from yeast and human has been reported. Lineage: Eukaryota; Metazoa; Chordata; Amphibia; Anura; Pelobatidae. The record is from RNAcentral.